UGGCCUGACCAUGGGGAAGCAAAAGAAAACAAGGAAGUAUGUGACCAUGAAGCGAAUGCUUAGUCUCAGAGAUCAGAAGCUUAAAGAAAAGGGUAGAUUAAAACCUAAAAAGAAAAGAAGGAUUCCAGCAUGUUAAAGGAAACAGAAGUUCCUCAACACCCUUCCUGCUUAUUUUCCAAUAUAAUACACAGCUGGGCCCACCUUUCCACAUCGUCAUUGAUACCAACAUUAUCAACGUUUCCAUAAAAGCCAAACUGGACUUAGUGCAGUCAAUGAUGGACUGUCUGUAUGCCAACUGUAUCCCUUGUAUAACUGAUUAGAUAAUGGCUGAAACUGAGAAAUUGGGGCAGAAGUAUCAAGUGGCUCUAAGGAUCGCCAAGGAUCCAAGAUUUGAACGUUUACCAUGUACACACAAAGGAACCUAUGUAGAUGACUGCUUAUUACAGAGAGUAACUCACCAUAAGUGUUACGUUGUGGCCACAGUUGACCCGGACCUUAAAAUAAGAAUCCAUAAGAUUCCUGGAGUUUCUAUCACAUACAUUUCUAACCAUAGAUACAAUGUUGAACAGAUGUCAGAUGAUUAUGGAGCCCCUUGA
Callithrix jacchus (white-tufted-ear marmoset) is the source of this 596-nucleotide non-coding RNA. The record is from RefSeq and is a predicted model, not a curated record. Lineage: Eukaryota; Metazoa; Chordata; Mammalia; Primates; Cebidae.